Molecule: long non-coding RNA, 6109 nt
Filed under: Homo sapiens (human)
Lineage: Eukaryota; Metazoa; Chordata; Mammalia; Primates; Hominidae
Description: HSALNT0321106
Source: RNAcentral
GUGUCACGGGCCGAAGGAAGUCAGCUGUGGGGUAGAUUUGUACGAGAUCGCUGGACCCUAAGGAACCCAGAAAAUGCAAGCAAGAUGACUAAAUGACUAGCACCAGUCUAUUUGGGAACUAAGGAAUCAAAAGAAGAGGAGAAAGGUACUAUUUUUCAUUUCCCCCAAACCCUCACAAGGACAAUAAUGUUUGUGUGUAUAUGCAUGGGUGUAUUUGUGUUUACACAAAAAGGGGUAAAAAUGUAAAGCAUUAAUAAAUAUAAGUGCUGCUAAACUGUUAGAAUACCAGUUAGAGGAGCUAAUAAAGCAAUAUUCAAAGAUUGAGGACUUUUAGGUGGUCAUUAGAAUGAGCCGAUGAAAUUGCGAAGUUCAUGUAGCUAAACAUAAGAUGGCAAAAUGUUGGGAUUUUUAUUAUAAAAAAAGCAGCAAACAUGAAAAUCUUUUAUCAAGAUAUCCAAACUCUUCUUACUUUAUAAAGUUAACUCCAAAUUAUAAGAUACUUGUUGAGCUUUUAUACCAUGAUAUAGAUGACAUUAAGGACUGAAUCUUUACUUGCAUACUUCAUAUGUGGCUUAAAUUGUCAGGCACUCAGUCUGUCAUUUCUCACUGCAGAAAAUUUUAUCAAACACAUUUUCCCUAGCAUUUUAUGAAAUUUAAUGGAAUGCAGCACUGCAACUGAAAUAUAAUACUGUCCAAAAGCCAUGUAUGACUUUAUAAUAUAUACUUUAUGGUAUCACUUAACUUUGUACAAUAACUUCACCUAUCUCCUUAAAGCUGGGAUUAAGGGAAAAAGAAUCAGUCAACAAGAAGGUAAGUUCACAGAAUUAUCAGCCAUAAUAGUGUAAAUUUGCCAUUAAAAUUAGAAAAAUAAAUAGAUGAAAUUUUUUUCAUUCAAAUUUUCAUAAAUUUUCUGAUGCAUAUGAACUUUCAAAGUUAAUUAAAAUGCUAUGAACUUAUAUUUUUAAAAACUUACUCUGCAGGCUCAACAAAAUAAUUAAAAUUGUAUUUUCUCUUAAGCACUGCUUUUUUUUUUUUUUUAAGGUAACAUUUCUAAGAGCAAGUUGGUUAAGCUCUCCAGUUUUCCUAUGACAGUAUGUUGUUUAGUUUAACCUACUAAUUCAAUCAGGCAUUUCUAUUGAUUCACCUGGAAAAGGGGAUACAACAGAACAUUUUUAAGAGGUCAUUUUAGCAGUUUUAUUCAACAGAUGCCAUAAAUUAACUACAUUCAGGAAAAAAAACUUAAACAAAGAACAAAGCCACCCUAUCUAGCAUUCUCUCACUCACAAAGAAGUAUCAAAGAUAUGUUUAUGUUCCAUUAACCGAGUAUGAAGCAAAAUCAUUAAAAUAUUACAACUGCUAAACACAGAAGACUAGAAAUCAAAUAGUUUCAUAUCCAGUAUACAGGCAUCAAAAACUUCAAUUUCCAGCUGUUUUUUUUUUCUAAUUCAUAUCAUGGAUUUACUUACAAGGAGCUUAUUCCUAUGGGAUUAAUUCAAUUACUCAAUGGUAAAUAGAUUUUAGCUCAGAAUUUUUAAAGGAUGACUUGCUUUAAGUUACUAUUCUACGUGCUGCUCUAUUUCUGCUCACACUUGCAUGUGGCCAAACAGAUCAUGCUCUGAUCAGAUAAGUAUACUGUAAUCUACUUAUAUGUUUAGGAGUUGGCAUAGGGUUAAAAGGCACAAAGCUGUAUUUUAGUACUCAUUUUUCUUAUUACUUAUUUGUAAAGGAACUUCUUUGGAUCCUGCUUAAAUGAUCACCAAGAAACUGCAAAUUUCUAUGGGGGAAAAUGUGAGUCCUCUUCAUAAAUUUUAGCAGCCCUUCAAGGACAUAUACAUCAAAAUUUGGUGGCCUUUAAAGUAUUGGAAUUUUAAAUGACAUAACUGCACUUUACUGUUGAAGACCCUUUUAGUUUAAUAUUUAUAGCCAUUUCCUCAUAUUUUCUUUAAAAUUUAUCAGUAUAGCAUUUCAUUUCUAUGCAUGUAUAUGUAUAGUAAUUCAUAAAACUAAAUAGCAAACUGAUAUUCUACACCAGUUCAUUUAUCUCAAUAUAUAUUUUGGAAUAUAACGGCAAUAUUAAAAAUAUCAAUUCCCUCUAAGCUGAUAAUACUAUAAGAUUUUACACAAAGUUAAAGUUUUUGUUUUUUCUUUUUGAAAAAGUUUCAUUGUUUAAAGUCCACAUAUUUGACACCUUGAUAAGGAAAAUGUAAAUGUGUCAUAUAACAUUUAUUCCAUCAAUUUAAACUGAAGUGUCUCAUGGAGCUAAACACUAAAAGAAUUUAAAUAAAAAAGCAGUAACCUGUAUGUACACAAAAUGAUCAUUCCAUAAAUAUUUACAUGACAAGGGAAAAAAUGGAGAAUCACUAAAACUGGAAAUUGCUACAGGUGUGAUAAUCCUUUCUCAUGACACUUUAGUUAGGAAUCAUGUAAGCUUUUAAAAUGAAAAUACUUGUAGAAGCGUUAACUAAAAUAUUCCAUUUUAGUUUUCAGUUACUAUUUAAAGGAGCCAGUAGGUCAUAAACAGUCCAAGAUUUCAGGAACCAACUAUUCAGUUUAGUUUUCAGUAUCAAAUCUUUUCCUUCAUCCCUCAUGAUGAAACCAAACUUACUUACAGAAAAAAUAAAGAGUACGCUAAAAGGUAUAAAUAAAAAUUCCAGUUCAUCCUCCUUUAUAAAGACUGGUAAGCCGCUCUAAUUCUUUACAGUUGUCCAUGCUCAAGGCAUCUGCCUUCCUUCGGAGUCGAUCAUCACGGUAUACUUUUGCUGCAUACUGCAUAUCUGUUUCUGUUAAUAAAGAAAAAUAUUUUGCUAAUUGAAUAAAAUUUUUGUCACCUAGUUGCUUAAGCUCAAGUGAUGCUUUACAGGAGCCCUUUGAUAUAUUUUGAUUAACUGACUUAAAAAAAAUCAAAGUACAAUUCCUAAAAGCCAUUUUAGUAGGAAAAAAAUUUUAAUGAAAACUUUAUUUGAAGUAUAGCAGGUAAAACAAACACAGAAAAUAAAUAAGGAUAGAAUCCUGUCAACUCACGUUGGAAUCCUUUCUCUCUACUCCUGUUCCCCAGUGGUUUAAAAACUAUUCCUCUGAAGCAUCAUCUUGGACUCUUUUCCUAAAAAUAUUAUAUGCUUUUCAAUACUGCCAGUGGUUGUUUCACUGUGGCCUUCUGUUAAGAUUUCAGAUUAUCCCAAGACUUAAGUAUUUAAUAAAAAAUUUAAAAUCUUGUUCUGAGUUUACUUAAAUUAAAAAAUACAUAUAAUAAUAUUACUGAAGGAACACAGAUAAAAAAAAUGCUUGUUAUACGAUCGUAAUAUUGCUAUUCAGCAAAUAAGUACUUCUGAGGCUUCCUUCAGUGUGUGGGACAGCACAGCUACUAAUGAUAUACAGACUACAAAUCAAAAUUCUUCAAGGAGUAUUUCUUGUUUUUUCCUGUUACUCUCAGUCAUUUCACUGUUUAUUAAUACCUGUAAAGACUAGGAGCACUUAAAGAAGAUGUAACAGAAAAAGAAAUCAGUUACUUUCUGGAACACAAUGGCCAAAGUAGAAGACAUCUGGUUUAUAUGGAUUAGUCAAGAUCACAUUCAAGAUAUACUCACAGUUAAGACAGUAUUCCAUUUGUAAAGAUCUCCAGAAAUAAUCUUUACUAAAUCAACUGGACUAGGAUUAACAACUCAAUCAAUAUUAUCCUAUGCCUUUUAUUUACACAUAAUGCGCUUAUAUCUAUUUACAGAUGACUCUUCCCAAAGAAGAAAUUUGAGACUUAGAUAAACCGAAGUUCACACUGCUAACGAAUGGCAGAGUCUAGAUUCCAGUCCAACUCUCCAAUGCCUAGCCUAAUAUUCUUUCCAUUAUUUCAAGUACUGCUUGGGCUGGAUAAUUUUUUUGUUGUGGGGGGUCUGUGCAUUGUAGGAUGUUUAGCAGCAUCCCUGGCCUUAACCCGCUAGAUGCUAGUAGCAAUCCCUUUCCAUUCCCAUCCCAUGAUGACACACAAAAGUAUCUCCAGACGUUACCAAACAUCUCUAGGGAUGGGUGGGGUGGGGGAAGGGUGGCAACUCACUCCCAGCUGAAAACAUAAAAAUCACUAGUCUAAUGUAAGCUUCUCCACACUGAGGACAGACUGAUUUCACAAACUCAUUGAGUUAGAAGUCAAAGAGGUCACAUCUCUAACUGCCACUAAAUAGAGGAGAAAACCAAGACCAGAGAGGUUAAGGACUCUCUUAGAAGUUACAUUUUAUCAACUUUUCCCUAGCAAGGGGGAGAUGAUGAUAAUUGCUGACAUUUUCUGAGCAUUCACUAUGUGUGAAGUACUUUAUUGCCUGAUUUAAUUUUCACAACAAACCCCAUAAAGUUGGUUAUUUCUGAGAAGACGUUGGAGCACAGGGCCUGGAUUCUAGAGACAAAUUGUCUGGUUUUCAAUCACAAACGACCUCUAUGACCUUGGGCAAGUUAGUAAUCUCUCUUUGCUUCAGUUUCUUCAUGUGUAAAAUAAGUAUAAUCUCACAGGGUUGUUGUGAAGAUUAAAUGAGUUAAUACUUACAAUGUGCUUGGGACAGUGACUGAAACAGGCAUUAUAUAAAUGAUAGCUAUUAUUUCCUCCUCCCACUCAUCAUCACCCAUUUUACACAUGAAACUCAUAGAGGUUACAAUUCGUCAGCUAAAAAUUUCAGAGCUAGGAUUCAACUUUACUCAGUUUAAUUCCAAAGUCAGUUCUCCUAACACUACACUAUAUGGUCUACAUUAUUAUUCACAACAAUGGUCACAAAAACAAGAACCACAACACUCAAUUCACAUGCAACAUCUCAGCAGAUUCUUAUAUCAAUCUUUAUAGAUGGAACUGUUCCUUAAAUUAAGAAAACUGAGGCUGGAAAAGCCUAAGCAAAUGAAGUGUUCUGAAGAGUCUCUCUGUGUACAAAGUAAAGAAAAAAGAAAUGUCAACAAAACUCAUUGUACAUUAAAUUCUAAAUACAAAAGCUAAAUUAAUAGAGUUUCAAACUUAACUCUGAAAACAGUAUGCAUCUUAAAAUUGAUGACAUAGUUUAUCUGCCAGGAUAUUUUUUGUUUCUUGGUGGUACAUAAAAGAAUGAUGUGUCUUAUGAUGGAUAUUAUCAAUACAAUAAAAUUUGGUAUUACUUAUUCAACCAAAUAUUUAUUGAUAACAAUAGACAAGUACCAUUUAUUAAGUCCUUACUAUGUGUCAAUUCCGAUGUUAGGCCACAUGUAUAUAAAACACAUGAUCUCAUUUAAGUACUGUGCUCCAAUUAUGUGCCAGGGAAUUCCAGAACAUUCCUUGAAUAGGGAAAUCUACAUUAAUCAGUUCCAAAGACUGCGAAUAAGUUUUAAAAUGUUAAACACAUGACAAACUUACUUUGUUGUCUUUCUUUCCAGCAGUUAUUUCGAAUAUUAGUCACAUAAUCUUCCUCCACACUCUUUUCUACCUUUUGUAAUAACAUUCCUUUAUAUUCAUUUUUGAAGUCCUUGUUGACAUAAUAAACAACACCCAAGUUUUCUGUUUGCAUUUUAAUAGUUUGCCCAGUUCCACUGUAAAAGAGAUGCAUCAUUAUUUUAAUUAAAAUUGGACAUUCCAAUAUGCUGCUAUAAACCAAGCAAACAAAAACAAUUAAAAAUCAUUGAAAAGUUAAUAUUGGUAAUACAGGUUGAGCAUCCCUAAUCCGAAACUCUGAAAUCCGAAAUGCUCUAAAAUCUAAGACUUUCUGAGCAUCGACAAGAUGGCACAAGUGAAAAAUUCCAAAGCUGACCUCAUGUGAUGGGUCACCUUUUAAUCAAAACACAGCAUCAUAGGUGGAAACUAAAAGCCUGUAGUUGUUUGUCGUUGCUAUUGUUUAACAGCUGACACGGGUAUUCUGGUGAUGCUAAUAUGCUGGUGGUUAUUUAAACCUGAAUACAUUAUUUUUUCACUGUUAAAUACUUAUAUGUGAAUUAGAGUAAGAAAAUUAUUGCUUAUCAGUAGCAUAUAAAUUCAGAGUCAGGAAUGAUGCCAAACAACCACAGGUUGUCCACAUGGGUGGCUGAGAUAGUGAUACCUUUGCUUUCUGAUAGUUCAAUGUAUACAAACUUUGUUUCAUGUACAAAGUGACUAAAAAUAUUGUAUAAAAUUACCUUC